GACCAGACUCCUACGGGAGGCAGCAGUGGGGAAUAUUGCACAAUGGGGGAAACCCUGAUGCAGCGACGCCGCGUGAGUGAAGAAGUAUUUCGGUAUGUAAAGCUCUAUCAGCAGGGAAGAAAAUGACGGUACCUGACUAAGAAGCCCCGGCUAACUACGUGCCAGCAGCCGCGGUAAUACGUAGGGGGCAAGCGUUAUCCGGAUUUACUGGGUGUAAAGGGAGCGUAGACGGCAUGGCAAGUCAGAUGUGAAAGCCCGGGGCUCAACCCCGGGACUGCAUUUGAAACUGUCAGGCUGGAGUGCAGGAGAGGUAAGUGGAAUUCCUAGUGUAGCGGUGAAAUGCGUAGAUAUUAGGAGGAACACCAGUGGCGAAGGCGGCUUACUGGACUGUAACUGACGUUGAGGCUCGAAAGCGUGGGGAGCAAACAGGAUUAGAUACCCUAGUAG
RNAcentral lists this ribosomal RNA (447 nucleotides) under uncultured bacterium. RNAcentral's name for it is "bacterial SSU rRNA". It matches the Rfam family "Bacterial small subunit ribosomal RNA", at positions 329 to 793 of the family's 1533-position model. The record is from RNAcentral.